GAAUGAAGGAAGCAUGGUACUGUGCACAGAGAACGAAGUUUCACGGUCGCUUGUCUGCCCCCUCUGAUUCGUUUCAUGAUUUGGGGGCCUGGUUUUAGACCUAUAUUU
Molecule: small nucleolar RNA, 108 nt
Filed under: Erythranthe guttata (spotted monkey flower)
Lineage: Eukaryota; Viridiplantae; Streptophyta; Magnoliopsida; Lamiales; Phrymaceae
Description: Mimulus guttatus (spotted monkey flower) Small nucleolar RNA snoR100
Rfam family: Small nucleolar RNA snoR100
Source: Rfam by way of RNAcentral